This 585-nucleotide ribosomal RNA is filed under the name proteobacterium StTD620. RNAcentral describes it as "bacterial SSU rRNA". It matches the Rfam family "Bacterial small subunit ribosomal RNA", at positions 102 to 683 of the family's 1533-position model. Lineage: Bacteria; Pseudomonadati; Pseudomonadota. The record is from RNAcentral.
ACGGGUGAGUAAUACAUCGGAACGUGCCCAGUAGUGGGGGAUAGCCCGGCGAAAGCCGGAUUAAUACCGCAUACGACCUACGGGUGAAAGCGGGGGAUCGCAAGACCUCGCGCUAUUGGAGCGGCCGAUGUCAGAUUAGCUAGUUGGUGGGGUAAAAGCCUACCAAGGCGACGAUCUGUAGCUGGUCUGAGAGGACGACCAGCCACACUGGGACUGAGACACGGCCCAGACUCCUACGGGAGGCAGCAGUGGGGAAUUUUGGACAAUGGGCGCAAGCCUGAUCCAGCCAUGCCGCGUGUGGGAAGAAGGCCUUCGGGUUGUAAACCACUUUUGUCAGGGAAGAAACGGUCUGAUCUAAUAAAUCGGACUAAUGACGGUACCUGAAGAAUAAGCACCGGCUAACUACGUGCCAGCAGCCGCGGUAAUACGUAGGGUGCAAGCGUUAAUCGGAAUUACUGGGCGUAAAGCGUGCGCAGGCGGCUAUGCAAGACAGAUGUGAAAUCCCCGGGCUCAACCUGGGAACUGCAUUUGUGACUGCAUGGCUAGAGUACGGUAGAGGGGGAUGGAAUUCCGCGUGUAGCAGUG